AACGAACGCUGGCGGCAUGCCUAACACAUGCAAGUCGAACGAGACCUUCGGGUCUAGUGGCGCACGGGUGCGUAACGCGUGGGAACCUGCCUUUAGGUUCGGAAUAACUCAGAGAAAUUUGAGCUAAUACCGGAUGAUGUCUUCGGACCAAAGAUUUAUCGCCUUUAGAUGGGCCCGCGUUGGAUUAGCUAGUUGGUGGGGUAAAGGCCUACCAAGGCGACGAUCCAUAGCUGGUCUGAGAGGAUGAUCAGCCACACUGGGACUGAGACACGGCCCAGACUCCUACGGGAGGCAGCAGUGGGGAAUAUUGGACAAUGGGCGAAAGCCUGAUCCAGCAAUGCCGCGUGAGUGAUGAAGGCCUUAGGGUUGUAAAGCUCUUUUACCCGAGAUGAUAAUGACAGUAUCGGGAGAAUAAGCUCCGGCUAACCCCGUG
This 433-nucleotide ribosomal RNA is filed under the name uncultured bacterium. RNAcentral's name for it is "partial 16S ribosomal RNA". It matches the Rfam family "Bacterial small subunit ribosomal RNA", at positions 29 to 507 of the family's 1533-position model. The record is from RNAcentral.